Molecule: ribosomal RNA, 868 nt
Filed under: uncultured archaeon
Lineage: Archaea
Description: bacterial SSU rRNA
Rfam family: Archaeal small subunit ribosomal RNA
Source: RNAcentral
CCGCUAUUGGAGUUCGAUUAAGCCAUGCGAGUCGAGAGUCCUCGGGACUCGGCGUACCGCUCAGUAACACGUGGGUAACCUGCCCUAUGCUGGGGAAUAACCUCGGGAAACUGAGAAUAAUGCCCCAUAGCCCACUACGCCUGGAACGGUGAGUGGGUCAAAGCUCCGGCGGCAUAGGAUGGGCCUGCGCCGUAUCAGGUUGUAGGGGGUGUAAAGUACCCUCUAGCCAUCAACGCGUACGGGUGUUGGGAGACAUUGCCCGGAGAUGGAUUCUGAGACACGAAUCCAGACCCUACGGGGUGCAGCAGGCGCGAAAACUUGGCAAUGCGAGCAAUCGUGACCAGGGAACUCCAAGUGCGUAGGGUAAGACCUACGCUUUUCUUGACUCUUCAAAGGUCUUGGAAUAAGGGGUGGGUAAGGACGGUGCCAGCCGCCGCGGUAAUACCGGCGCCUCAAGUGGUAGUCGCUUUUAUUGGGCCUAAAACGUCCGUAGCCGGUCUGGUGCAUUCGUGGGUAAAUCAACCCGCUCAACGGGUUGAAUUCUGCGAGCACGGCCAGACUUGGGACCGGGAGAGGUGUGGGGUACUCUCAGGGUAGGGGUAAAAUCCUGUCAUCCUGAGAGGACCACCUGUUGCGAAGGCGCCACACUAGAACGGAUCCGACGGUCAGGGACGAAACCUAGGGGCACGAACCGGAUUAGAUACCCGGGUAGUCCUAGGUGUAAACGCUGUGGACUUGAUGUUGGGGGCGCUCCGAGCGCUCUCAGUGUCGAAGCGAAGGUGAUAAGUCCACUGCCUGGGGAGUACGGUCGCAAGGCUGAAACUUAAAGGAAUUGGCGGGGGAGCACUGCAACCUGAGGAUUGUGCGG